This 1248-nucleotide ribosomal RNA is filed under the name Mallinella calilungae. RNAcentral describes it as "SSU rRNA". It matches the Rfam family "Eukaryotic small subunit ribosomal RNA", at positions 51 to 1235 of the family's 1831-position model. The record is from RNAcentral. Lineage: Eukaryota; Metazoa; Arthropoda; Arachnida; Araneae; Zodariidae.
AUGCAGGUCCAAGUACGCGCCCUUCCUCGACAGAGAGAAAAAGGCGAAACCGCGAAUGGCUCAUUAAAUCAGUUGUGGUUCCUUGGAGAAUGCACCGCUACUUGGAUAACCGUGGCAAUCCCAGAGCUAAUACAUGCAUCCAGAGCCCCGACCCUCGCCUCCGGGSGGGGGGAUGACGGGCGCAGUUAUUAGACCAAGACCGGCGUUCCCUCCUCCGAGGGGGUCCCAUCCGGKGGUGACUCUGAGUAACCAUGCCGAUCGCACGGGCUCGCCCCGGCGACGUAUCCUUCGAGCGUCUGCCUCAUCAACUUUCGACGGUAGGCCACGCGCCUACCGUGGUUGUAACGGGUGACGGGGAAUCGGGGUUCGAUUCCGGAGAGGGAGCCCGAGAAACGGCUACCACAUCCAAGGAAGGCAGCAGGCGCGCAAAUUACCCACUCCCGGCACGGGGAGGUAGUGACGWAAAAUAACGAUACGGGACUCUUACGAGACCCCGUAGUCGGAAUGAGCUCGAUCCAGACAGCCGCACGAGGAUCGAUCGGAGGGCAAGUCUGGUGCCAGCAGCCGCGGUAACCCCAGCUCCGAUAGCGUAUAUUAAAGUUGCUGCGGUUAAAAAGCUCGUAGUCAGAGCCGUGCGUCUUCCGUCCCGCGGCCCCGUCAACCCUCUGCGGUUCGGGAUACCGUCGGCGUCGGGGCGCGAACCUGCCGUCGUGCGCCGUCGAUGAUCUUCACCGGUCGUCUUCGGUAGGGACGGCGCGUUCACCUUGCCUAAAUCAGAGUGCUCAAGGCAGGCAUACGACCGUUAAAAAGCUCGGACGCAACUGCAUGGAAUGAUGGAACAGGACCUCGGAUCUGUUYUGCCGGAUCGAUCUUCGGAUCCCGAGGUAAUGGUCGAGAGGAACGGACGGGGGCAUACGUACUGCGACGCUAGAGGUGAAAUUCUUGGACCGUCGCAAGACGAACCACUGCGAAAGCAUUUGCCAAGAAUGCUUCCUUUGAUCAAGAACGAAAGUCAGAGUUUCGAAGGCGAUCAGAUACCGCCCUAGUUCUGACCGUAAACGGUACCAGCCAGCGAUCCGGCUGCCGUCGCUAGCGCGACGCGCCGGGAAGCUUCCGGGAAACCAGAGCCUUCGGGUUCCGGGGGAAGUAUGGUUGCAAAGCUGAAACUUAAAGGAAUUGACGGAUGGUCACCACCAGGCGUGGGGCCUGCGGCUCAAUUGGACUCAACACCCGGAAACUCACCCGGCC